ACUCCAGACUCCUACGGGAGGCAGCAGUGGGGAAUAUUGCACAAUGGGGGAAACCCUGAUGCAGCGACGCCGCGUGAGUGAAGAAGUCUUUCGGUAUGUAAAGCUCUAUCAGCAGGGAAGAAGAAAGACGGUACCUGACUAAGAAGCCCCGGCUAACUACGUGCCAGCAGCCGCGGUAAUACGUAGGGGGCAAGCGUUAUCCGGAUUUACUGGGUGUAAAGGGAGCGUAGACGGAGAAGCGAGUCUGAAGUGAAAGCCCGUGGCUUAACCACGGGACUGCUUUGGAAACUGUUUGACUGGAGUGCAGGAGAGGUAAGCGGAAUUCCUAGUGUAGCGGUGAAAUGCGUAGAUAUUAGGAGGAACACCAGUGGCGAAGGCGGCUUACUGGACUGUAACUGACGUUGAGGCUCGAAAGCGUGGGGAGCAAACAGGAUUAGAUACCCCAGUA
RNAcentral lists this ribosomal RNA (448 nucleotides) under uncultured bacterium. RNAcentral's name for it is "bacterial SSU rRNA". It matches the Rfam family "Bacterial small subunit ribosomal RNA", at positions 328 to 792 of the family's 1533-position model. The record is from RNAcentral.